RNAcentral lists this unclassified non-coding RNA (422 nucleotides) under soil metagenome. RNAcentral describes it as "partial contains 5.8S ribosomal RNA, internal transcribed spacer 2, and large subunit ribosomal RNA". The stretch from base 1 to 121 matches the Rfam family "5.8S ribosomal RNA", at positions 35 to 154 of the family's 154-position model. The record is from RNAcentral.
GAUGAAGAAACGUAGCGAAAUGCGAUACGUAAUGUGAAUUGCAGAAUUCAGUGAAUCAUCGAAUCUUUGAACGCAUAUUGCGCUCUUUGGUAUUCCGAAGAGCAUGCUUGUUUGAGUAUCAGUAAACACCUCAACCUCUUCUUGAUUUUUCAAAAGGAGGGUGGACUUGAGCUAUCCCAACAACCUUUACCGGUCGGCGGGCGGCUUGAAAUGCAGGUGCAGCUGGACUUUUAUCUGAGCUAAAAGCAUAUCUAUUUAGUCCUCGUCAAACAGGAUUAUUACUUUUGCUGCAGCUAACAUAAAGGAUAAUUGUCCUCUUUGCUGACUGAUGCAGGAUUUUACGACACUUUAUGUGUUGUUCAACUCGAUCUCAAAUCAAGUAAGACUACCCGCUGAACUUAAGCAUAUCAAUAAGCGGAGGA